This 112-nucleotide ribosomal RNA is filed under the name Candidatus Epulonipiscioides gigas. Lineage: Bacteria; Bacillati; Bacillota; Clostridia; Lachnospirales; Lachnospiraceae. The record is from RNAcentral.
UUUGGUGACGAUGCGAUUUUGGGAAACACCCGUUUCCAUAUCGAACACGAUGGUUAAGCUAAAAUCGGCUGACGGUACUUGUUUGGAGACGAACAGGGAGAAUAAGUGGUUG